AUUGAACGCUGGCGGCAUGCCUAACACAUGCAAGUCGAGCGGAAGCACGGGGAGCUCUCUCUCUUGCAGUUGGCGACGGGCGGGUGAGUCAUAAGUACAUCCCAUUCUACUUUGUCUGGGGUGAUUACGCGGGCACACAUACACUACUAGCUCAUACGUCGAACGGGUGGGAUCAUUAGAGCUUCAGCGCUUAGGUGAGACUAUGAGCCGGUGUCGAGUUGGAUUAGCUAGUUGGUAGGGUAACGGCUUACCAAGGCGACGAUGCGUAGCUGAUCUGAGAGGAUGAUCAGCCACACUGGAACUGAGACACGGUCCAGACUCCUACGGGAGGCAGCAGUGGGGAAUCUUGGACAAUGGGCGAAAGCCUGAUCGAGCAAUGCCGCGUGAGUGAAGAAGGUCUUCGGAUUGUAAAGCUCUGUUAUUGGGGAAGAACAGAAGUAGGUUAAUCCAUGGAUGUUUUGACGGUACCUAAAGAAUAAGCACCGGCUAACUUCGUG
This 497-nucleotide ribosomal RNA is filed under the name uncultured bacterium. RNAcentral describes it as "partial 16S ribosomal RNA". It matches the Rfam family "Bacterial small subunit ribosomal RNA", at positions 30 to 507 of the family's 1533-position model. The record is from RNAcentral.